GACGAACGCUGGCGGCGUGCCUAAUACAUGCAAGUUGAGCGCUGAAGGUUGGUACUUGUACCAACUGGAUGAGCAGCGAACGGGUGAGUAACGCGUGGGGAAUCUGCCUUUGAGCGGGGGACAACAUUUGGAAACGAAUGCUAAUACCGCAUAAAAACUUUAAACACAAGUUUUAAGUUUGAAAGAUGCAAUUGCAUCACUCAAAGAUGAUCCCGCGUUGUAUUAGCUAGUUGGUGAGGUAAAGGCUCACCAAGGCGAUGAUACAUAGCCGACCUGAGAGGGUGAUCGGCCACAUUGGGACUGAGACACGGCCCAAACUCCUACGGGAGGCAGCAGUAGGGAAUCUUCGGCAAUGGACGAAAGUCUGACCGAGCAGCGCCGCGUGAGUGAAGAAGGUUUUCGGAUCGGAAAACUCUGUUGGUAGAGAAGAACGUUGGUGAGAGUGGAAAGCUCAUCAAGUGACGGUAACUACACAGAAAGGGACGGCUAACUACGUG
This 497-nucleotide ribosomal RNA is filed under the name uncultured bacterium. Its description in RNAcentral is "partial 16S ribosomal RNA". It matches the Rfam family "Bacterial small subunit ribosomal RNA", at positions 28 to 507 of the family's 1533-position model. The record is from RNAcentral.